UCUGGGCAGUUUUUCUAUAUGUUUGCUGAUAUAAGUACUGAAUACUCAUUUCAUAUUAAAUGUCGUGAUAGGUAGAACGUAUUAAAAGAUUUAAUCGGAUCAGAAUUAAUUGUUUUAUUCCCAGCCAAUCGUGCGAUAAGUCGCAAAAAAUUAAAGAUGAAAGUCAGAUGUGCAGUUUUCAGCACAAUGGUUCUUUUGGCCUUGAUCACCAUUGCCACCGCCGAUUUCAGCUCCUUCCGUAUGCAAAGGUCACCGUUGUUAUUUAACGGAAAUCCGGGAUGGCAAAGAGAUGCUGUGAAUGCCAACCGCCUGCGGCGUGCGGCUAUCAUACCCCAGAAAUAUCCCAAUAAGCCGCCGUGCUAUUAUCAGUGGUAUUAUCCCGAUGUGUACUGCGGCCCCCAUUACAAUAAUUGACCUACGGGUUAACCCGGAGUCAGUUCAAUGAAAAACUGUAUCAGUUUUUUUAAUUUUUAUGUAACACAAUAAAUUUUUGUAUAAGCGUUGGAAACUCAGUACUGUCUGGUACAGAAAAGAUUGUUGCACAUGCAGCGUUAAAGAGUACUGCAAAAAUAUUGUUCCCAAAAAUGAUCUGUUGAUGACUCUUCCUGUAAUACAGAAAGGAAAUUAACUGUUGAGUAUUGAGCAUUUCAAUUUAAUCUCUACCCUAUGUAUACGGUACAUGUUUAUAGCACUAUGUUUACCCGAAAUAACUGAGGGCUGUUUAAUUG
Paramacrobiotus metropolitanus is the source of this 728-nucleotide long non-coding RNA. RefSeq lists it as uncharacterized. The transcript is spliced from 3 exons. Lineage: Eukaryota; Metazoa; Tardigrada; Eutardigrada; Parachela; Macrobiotidae. The record is from RefSeq and is a predicted model, not a curated record.